Molecule: ribosomal RNA, 351 nt
Filed under: uncultured bacterium
Lineage: Bacteria
Description: partial 16S ribosomal RNA
Rfam family: Bacterial small subunit ribosomal RNA
Source: RNAcentral
CCUACGGGGGGCAGCAGUGAGGAAUAUUGGUCAAUGGGCGCGAGCCUGAACCAGCCAAGUAGCGUGAAGGAUGACUGCCCUACGGGUUGUAAACUUCUUUUAUAAAGGAAUAAAGUGAGGCACGUGUGCCUUUUUGUAUGUACUUUAUGAAUAAGGAUCGGCUAACUCCGUGCCAGCAGCCGCGGUAAUACGGAGGAUCCGAGCGUUAUCCGGAUUUAUUGGGUUUAAAGGGAGCGUAGAUGGGUUGUUAAGUCAGUUGUGAAAUUUUGCGGCUCAACCGUAAAAUUGCAAUGGAUACGGGCAGCCUGGAGUAGAGAUGAGGAAGGCGGAAUUCGUGGUGUAGCGGUGAAA